This is a long non-coding RNA of Mustela erminea (ermine), 668 nucleotides long. RefSeq lists it as uncharacterized. Lineage: Eukaryota; Metazoa; Chordata; Mammalia; Carnivora; Mustelidae. The transcript has 4 exons. The record is from RefSeq and is a predicted model, not a curated record.
AAAGGAAGGGUGGGUUCCUGUUGUCUCUGCCUCAGUGUUUGAAUUGAAUAAAUAUCUCCUACCCUUGGCACUUCUGGUCUCAGGUUUCAAAUCUAGGCAAGAAUCUACACCAUCAGCUCUCCGACUCUCACCCCCUGCCUUCCUGGGUCUCCAGCUUGCAGAAGGUAGAUCAUGUGACUUCCCACUCUUCAUAAUCAGAGUUCAUCAAAAAAUAAGUCUGCAAGUUUCAGAAGAUGAGACCUCACUGUGACAACAGAAUCAUACCACACAUGUCAGACAACGACUUAAUGGGAGAAUCAAUGGAAAGCUGAGAAACAACAAAGUGUAUGGUUUUGAGUCUAAAUACAGUAAGUGCAAUGGGAGAGAUUCUUCCACAAUGAAGCCUCAAAGUUUUCUUGUUCAGCACACGUCAUGCAUUGUUUCCUCGAUGACCCUCUUGUACAACCUCGCACUGGGGAACCAGUCUACAACCUGUGAGGACCAGGAUGUAAGAGAGUCUGCAGCUGGCCCCAUGGAGUCUGCAUGCGAUCAGGAAGUGUUACAUGGAGUUCCUCUUUCACCGAUUAACUUCCCUAAACUUCCAUUAAAAAUCUUGGGGCCAGGGGCGCCUGGGUGGCUCAGUGGGUUAAGCCUCUGCCUUCAGCUCAGAUCAUGAUCGCAGGGUCCUG